This 460-nucleotide ribosomal RNA is filed under the name uncultured bacterium. Its description in RNAcentral is "partial 16S ribosomal RNA". It matches the Rfam family "Bacterial small subunit ribosomal RNA", at positions 338 to 795 of the family's 1533-position model. The record is from RNAcentral.
CCUACGGGUGGCAGCAGUGAGGAAUAUUGGUCAAUGGGCGCGAGCCUGACCCAGCAAAGUAGCGUGAAGGAUGACUGCCCUCCGGGUUGUAACCUUCUUUUAUAAAGGAAUAAAGUGAAGCACGUGUGCCUUUUUGUAUGUACUUUAUGACUAAGGAUCGGCUAACUCAGUGCCAGCAGCCGCGGUAAUACGGAGGAUCCGAGCGUUAUCCGGAUUUAUUGGGUGGAAAGGGAGCGUAGAUGGGUUGUUAAGUCAGUUGUGAAAGUUUGCGGCUCAACCGUAAAAUUGCAAUUGAUACUGGCAGUCUUGAGUACAGUUGAGGUAGGCGGAAUUCGUGGUGUAGCGGUGAAAUGCGUAGAUAUUACGAAGAACACCGAUUGCGAAGGCAGCUUACUGAACUGCCACUGACAUUGAUGCUCGAAAGUGUGGGUAGCAAACAGGAUUAGAUACCCCAGUAGUC